AAGUCUGACCCCCCGAAACUAGGCGAGCUACUCUAAAACAGCCACAGAACUAACCCAUCCCUGUUACAAAAGGGUGGGGUGAUUUUAAAGUAGAGGUGACACACCUAUCGAGCUUAGAGAUAGCUGGUUAUUCAAAAGACGGAUAUGAGUCCAACUUUAAGCUUCCCUUAGUAGUACUAAACACUCACAAGCUUAAAAGCCAUUCAAAUAAGGUACAGCCUAUUUGAACAAGGAAACAACCUACAACACAGGGUAAUGAUAAUAUACAUGACCAAGUGGGCCUAAGAGCAGCCAACUUUCAAAAAGCGUCUAAGCAUCAUCACAACAUAUUCCAUAAUUCCACAAUUUACCCAAAACCCACAUCUACUACUGAAUGACCCCAUACCUGUAUGGUGAACAUUAUGCUAGAACUAGUAACAAGAAGAUGAACUUCUCCAAAAUGCAAGCGUAAGCCAA
Molecule: ribosomal RNA, 456 nt
Filed under: Stumpffia sp. 11 MV-2019
Lineage: Eukaryota; Metazoa; Chordata; Amphibia; Anura; Microhylidae
Description: partial large subunit ribosomal RNA
Rfam family: Bacterial large subunit ribosomal RNA (bases 1-408)
Source: RNAcentral